This 274-nucleotide long non-coding RNA is filed under the name Helianthus annuus (common sunflower). RNAcentral's name for it is "sRNA HanXRQr2_Chr02g0081451". The record is from RNAcentral. Lineage: Eukaryota; Viridiplantae; Streptophyta; Magnoliopsida; Asterales; Asteraceae.
UUUAAUAGUUGCUCCUUUUCAUAUAUGUUAACUGCUUGUGAACAAAGUGUACAAAGCUUCGAUUAUAGGACAAAGUGUAAAUUUUCAUUACUGAUUAUGACUGAAAACUUUGAAGAUUUUGAACAUGCAUACACAUAACACAUUACAAUUAGUCACAAGACAAAAGGAACAAAGAAACACAUAAGUUUAUUUUUCCCAAUCACGUUAAAUUAUUCCAUGUUCAUUUUACUAGCAAAUGAAUCCAUAUCCCUUCCUCUAAGAAAAAGGACAUGCU